GUUUUUAAACCUGCCCUUUGAAUGCAUGUAUUUGUGAAAUGAAGGUUUGAUCCAAAGUCCACUGAGAUCAGUGGAAAAUCCCCAGUGACUUAGGCUUUGGAUCAGGUCCUGAGAAGUAUACAAGUAAAUAGGUAUUGCAAUAAGAUUAUUCCCCGGAAUUCCUUUCAGCAAGAAGCCUUUUUAUUGUUCGUAAAUGCUACUGAUGCUCCGGGGCCAGAACCCCAGGAGAAUUCCACCUAGUGACGUCAAUUCUGUAGAGGAGAACUUCCUCCGUCCCCUUUUAGGUUUGUGGGACAUCUUCGAACAGAUGGAGCCUAUAUAGAUAAUUCUGAACUACUAAAAACUCAAUCAAGUCCAAAUUUCACACCUGGCCUUAUAAUGGACGAGAGUGAAACCCCAGAGCAGAGCACAGCCGACCAUAUAAGAAAGACUGAAAAAUUUUACCUAAGGUCAGAGCAUCUGAUGAAUGGGUUAAAGUGGAAUGGCUGUCGGAAACCAGAAAUGUAA
This 507-nucleotide long non-coding RNA is filed under the name Anas platyrhynchos platyrhynchos (common mallard). RNAcentral's name for it is "lncRNA (ENSAPLG00000020094.1)". The record is from RNAcentral. Lineage: Eukaryota; Metazoa; Chordata; Aves; Anseriformes; Anatidae.